Molecule: ribosomal RNA, 491 nt
Filed under: uncultured bacterium
Lineage: Bacteria
Description: bacterial SSU rRNA
Rfam family: Bacterial small subunit ribosomal RNA
Source: RNAcentral
GACGAACGCUGGCGGCGUGCCUAAUACAUGCAAGUAGAACGCUGAAGAGAGGAGCUUGCUCUUCUUGGAUGAGUUGCGAACGGGUGAGUAACGCGUAGGUAACCUGCCUUGUAGCGGGGGAUAACUAUUGGAAACGAUAGCUAAUACCGCAUAACAAUGGAUGACACAUGUCAUUUAUUUGAAAGGGGCAAUUGCUCCACUACAAGAUGGACCUGCGUUGUAUUAGCUAGUAGGUGAGGUAACGGCUCACCUAGGCGACGAUACAUAGCCGACCUGAGAGGGUGAUCGGCCACACUGGGACUGAGACACGGCCCAGACUCCUACGGGAGGCAGCAGUAGGGAAUCUUCGGCAAUGGGGGCAACCCUGACCGAGCAACGCCGCGUGAGUGAAGAAGGUUUUCGGAUCGUAAAGCUCUGUUGUAAGUCAAGAACGAGUGUGAGAGUGGAAAGUUCACACUGUGACGGUAGCUUACCAGAAAGGGACGGCUAAC